GUUAUCGUUUAUUUGAUAGUACCUUACUACUUGGAUAACCGUGGUAAUUCUGGAGCUAAUACAUGCUAAAAACCUCGACUUCGGAAGGGGUGUAUUUAUUAGAUAAAAAACCAAUGCCCUUCGGGGCUCCUUGGUGAUUCAUAAUAACUUAACGAAUCGCAUGGCCUUGUGCCGGCGAUGGUUCAUUCAAAUUUCUGCCCUAUCAACUUUCGAUGGUACGGUCUUGGCCUACCAUGGUUUCAACGGGUAACGGGGAAUUAGGGUUCUAUUCCGGAGAGGGAGCCUGAGAAACGGCUACCACAUCCAAGGAAGGCAGCAGGCGCGCAAAUUACCCAAUCCCGACACGGGGAGGUAGUGACAAUAAAUACUGAUACAGGGCUCUUUUGGGUCUUGUAAUUGGAAUGAGUACAAUUUAAAUCCCUUAACGAGGAACAAUUGGAGGGCAAGUCUGGUGCCAGCAGCCGCGGUAAUUCCAGCUCCAAUAGCGUAUAUUAAAGUUGUUGCAGUUAAAAAGCUCGUAGUUGAACCUUGG
RNAcentral lists this ribosomal RNA (532 nucleotides) under uncultured fungus. RNAcentral's name for it is "SSU rRNA". It matches the Rfam family "Eukaryotic small subunit ribosomal RNA", at positions 109 to 644 of the family's 1831-position model. The record is from RNAcentral. Lineage: Eukaryota; Fungi.